UACGUAGGGGGCAAGCGUUGUCCGGAUUUAUUGGGCGUAAAGAGCUCGUAGGCGGUUUGGUAAGUCUGGGGUGAAAUCUCCACGCUCAACGUGGAGGGGCCACCCGAUACUGCCAUGACUGGAGUCCGGUAGAGGAGUGUGGAAUUCCCGGUGUAGCGGUGAAAUGCGCAGAUAUCUGGAGGAAUACCGGUGGCGAAGGCGGCAUCCUGGACCGGCAUUGACGCUGAUGAGCGAAAGCUAGGGGAGCGAACGGG
Molecule: ribosomal RNA, 254 nt
Filed under: uncultured bacterium
Lineage: Bacteria
Description: partial 16S ribosomal RNA
Rfam family: Bacterial small subunit ribosomal RNA
Source: RNAcentral